AAGAAAUAAUAAAUUAAAAUUUCUAACUUUAAAAAAGAGCAUUAGUUCUUAUUUCUUAUUUUA
RNAcentral lists this transfer RNA (63 nucleotides) under Platerodrilus strbai. Its description in RNAcentral is "partial tRNA-Ser". Lineage: Eukaryota; Metazoa; Arthropoda; Insecta; Coleoptera; Lycidae. The record is from RNAcentral.